UGGGGAAUAUUGCACAAUGGGCGCAAGCCUGAUGCAGCGACGCCGCGUGGGGGAUGACGGCCUUCGGGUUGUAAACUCCUUUCGCCAGGGACGAAGCGUUUUGUGACGGUACCUGGAGAAGAAGCACCGGCUAACUACGUGCCAGCAGCCGCGGUAAUACGUAGGGUGCAAGCGUUGUCCGGAAUUACUGGGCGUAAAGAGCUCGUAGGUGGUUUGUCACGUCGUCUGUGAGAUUCCACAGCUUAACUGUGGGCGUGCAGGCGAUACGGGCUGACUUGAGUACUGUAGGGGUAACUGGAAUUCCUGGUGUAGCGGUGAAAUGCGCAGAUAUCAGGAGGAACACCGAUGGCGAAGGCAGGUUACUGGGCAGUUACUGACGCUGAGGAGCGAAAGCAUGGGUAGCAAACAGGAUUAGAUACCCUGGUAGUCCAUGCCGUAAACGGUGGGCGCUAGGUGUAGGGGCCUUUUGGGGUUUCUGUGCCGUAGCUAACGCAUUAAGCGCCCCGCCUGGGGAGUACGGCCGCAAGGCUA
This 531-nucleotide ribosomal RNA is filed under the name uncultured bacterium. Its description in RNAcentral is "bacterial SSU rRNA". It matches the Rfam family "Bacterial small subunit ribosomal RNA", at positions 355 to 896 of the family's 1533-position model. The record is from RNAcentral.